RNAcentral lists this unclassified non-coding RNA (187 nucleotides) under soil metagenome. RNAcentral's name for it is "partial internal transcribed spacer 1". The record is from RNAcentral.
CAAGAAGUUGCAGAAAGGCUCCUAAACCAUUUACGCUGAACUUUAUUCCAAGUUGCUCUCGGCGGGCGGCUUCCCCUCACGGGACCGCAGACCCCGCCUUUCAGGAGGUAAGGGGCAGACCCGCCGGAGGGCUACGAAACUCUGUAUUAUUAGUGGCUAUCUGUGAGUAUAAACUUUAAAUAAGUUA